AACGAACGCUGGCGGCAUGCCUAACACAUGCAAGUCGAACGAUAAGCCACCUUCGGGUGGUGGACAGUGGCGCACGGGUGAGUAACACGUGGGGACCUGCCUGAUAGUACGGAAAAACAGUUGGAAACGACUGCUAAUACCGUAUACGCCCUUCGGGGGAAAGAUUUAUCGCUAUCAGAUGGACCCGCGCUAGAUUAGAUAGUUGGUGAGGUAAUGGCUCACCAAGUCGACGAUCUAUAGCUGGUUUGAGAAGAUGAUCAGCCACAUUGGGACUGAGACACGGCCCAGACUCCUACGGGAGGCAGCAGUGGGGAAUAUUGUACAAUGGGCGCAAGCCUGAUACAGCAAUGCCGCGUGAGUGAAGACGGCCUUAGGGUUGUAAAACUCUUUCGCCAGGGAAGAUAAUGACGGUACCUGGUAAAGAAGUCCCGGCUAACUCCGUGCCAGCAGCCGCGG
Molecule: ribosomal RNA, 456 nt
Filed under: uncultured bacterium
Lineage: Bacteria
Description: bacterial SSU rRNA
Rfam family: Bacterial small subunit ribosomal RNA
Source: RNAcentral